RNAcentral lists this ribosomal RNA (377 nucleotides) under uncultured organism. RNAcentral's name for it is "partial 16S ribosomal RNA". It matches the Rfam family "Bacterial small subunit ribosomal RNA", at positions 527 to 897 of the family's 1533-position model. The record is from RNAcentral.
GUAGGUGGCAAGCGUUGUCCGGGAAUUAUUGGGGCGUAAAGCGCGCGCAGGCGGUCCUUUAAGGUCUGAUGUGAAAGCCCACGGGCUCAACCGUGGAGGGUCAUUGGAAACUGGGGGACUUGAGUACAGAAGAGGAAAGCGGAAUUCCAAGUGUAGCGGUGAAAUGCGUAGAGAUUUGGAGGAACACCAGUGGCGAAGGCGGCUUUCUGGUCUGUAACUGACGCUGAGGCGCGAAAGCGUGGGGAGCAAACAGGAUUAGAUACCCUGGUAGUCCACGCCGUAAACGAUGAGUGCUAAGUGUUAGGGGGUUUCCGCCCCUUAGUGCUGCAGCUAACGCAUUAAGCACUCCGCCUGGGGAGUGCGGCCGCAAAGGCUGA